CAUUAUCUGGGGUGCUGGGAGCCAGUCGGUCUCCUCUUCCUGCUCCACAAGGACUGAGGCGUCUCCUUGAGGUAGGCAAAGCAGCAAUGCGAUACUCCCCAGGCUUAUCACCCACUAUCAGCUGGAUCUGCUGUUUGCUCCAGACUCCACCUUUGCUUGGAAAGUGCUUGCAAUUCCAUGAGGUAGAGCACACCACAGGCGUGCCUGGAUGUUUGGCCCUUCUGAGCAGCUUGUCAUUGAGGAGAGAGAAAACAACUGGUCCAUUGCUGAAAAGUUGUGCCACUCGGUGCAGCCCCCACGACGUGUGACCCGCGGCGUUGGAGAUGCAGGGCACAUCCCCUCCCUCCUCUGCGACCGCAGGAUGGAGACGCCAGGUUCUUUCUGCCCUCCCUGAAAUAAGCGAGUUCUGUUCGCCCGCCAAGAACAUCCCAGUAAAUAUAAGGAUUGUGUAAGUUGCUUGCAAUGCCCAAAGUAUAAACAAACUUGUGCCUCGGAAAGGUGAGUUUCUGGCGGGUUUCCAGGGGAGUUCCCUCGGUGCUGCAGAGCUGAGGCGUUCCUCUUGAAGGUAAAAGACAGAUUUUAGAUAUUUAUGCAAGACAGAAAGAGGAAAGGUGCAGUAUGGAGGGAUACAAAAUGAGGUGUCUGGUGGUGGUGGUGGUCGUAGUGGUGCUUUUCACACUGACCUGUGGCUCUACAUUUAUUUCCUUGCCCAGCGGUAUCGAACGGCUCCGCUUUCAAACUGUGUCAGCAUGAGUGACAAGUGCAUGAAUGGAAUAUUCCUGUGGAAUAUCGUGGAAUCAGAUCUAACAUUUCUCCUGCGAAACGUAUGGAUGAAGUCAGGUGUUCUUUUAUCUGUGAGCU
Molecule: long non-coding RNA, 861 nt
Filed under: Calidris pugnax (ruff)
Lineage: Eukaryota; Metazoa; Chordata; Aves; Charadriiformes; Scolopacidae
Description: lncRNA (ENSCPUG00000004496.1)
Source: RNAcentral